UGAUCCACAAACAACCUUAACCAUCAGGUUCUACAUAUUUAGAAUGUGAACUGCCUACAUGAAUAGGCAAGACCGAAAUUUAUAUGAAAUUACAAAAUGAUAAAUCUGAAAUUUCUACUGGAGAUUCUAGAACUAUAGAAGUCAACAUAUCAAUAAAUAUAUCAAUUAUAUUAACCCGAAGAUGAAUGAAUCGGGUUGUUAGAUAAAAAGCACUGCAGAAAAACUAACCACACCUGAAAAACAGUUAAAUUGAGACUGUCAGUCUCAAGAGUUAAAAUCAUAUAUCCAAAAAUAAUUACAAACACUUCAAUAACACAUUUAUUUAAUUUAAAAUAAGCAUUAAGUCAUGCAAAAAUAUACAUGUCACGCCAUGCUUAAAUAAAAAUAAAUUUCACAUACCACAUGACGGAGUACUUCAGUAGAACCCUAAUCCCCAAUGCUAAACAGUCUCAGCCUUUCGGCUCUCUCGUUUCCAACAGGACUGGCGCCUAGAGAGCGAAGGUCGACCAGGAUCCUUAAAUCUAGUCUGGUCGCAUAACUUUCUAACUAAGCCGACACCCAGAGAGCAAUGCCCGACUAGGGACCUUUACUCCGGCAACUCACAGAGUUAAACUCGACCAGGGCAAAACCCUAAACCAUUAUUCUAUUAUCUGACUCAAAAUUUAUAUCGGUGCGCACGCAAUCCUGAUGCAAUCCAUCAGGUGGCAUGUUCUACUGUCGUCUCAUCCCGAGCCAACAUGCAAUCACAAUAGCCAUAAUGCAGAAAUGAAACGUAUAUAAACAGUAAAUAAAUAAAUAAUUAAAAUAUUAAUCAUUUAAUUAGAGAUAUUACGUAAAAAUCUUAUCUAAUCAUGGGAAUAAUUUAAUCAGAAAAGUAAAACAUUUGACAAUUAAACCUAGGAUUAGACUCCUCGAACUGACUGUCUAAAAAUUUUGGACUCGGGUAAAUUCUAUCGAAAAUUCGACAGAACCUUCCCCAAAUUACGGAGAUUUACCCCCAUAUAACGGGUCCAGGACCUGCCAGAAAAGACUUCAAAUAUACCGCGAUAAAUUAACGAAAGUCGGGUCACUAAAACUGCAAUAAUUUUUCCGACUCCACAACACAACACAAUCACGACUAUUGGCAGACAGUCCGAAAAAUUAUUUAUUUUAACUAAUAAACCUCACAUAAUUUUUCUAAAAUUCAACACAACAAUUAAACACAUAAGUUUUAUCAAUGACUUCUAAAAUCAAUGGGCCAAAGAAUUACCGAGACGCUUGAUCACUCGGUCGACUCGCCUCCAGCCGCCGGAGUCCCAUUGACGAUUCGAACGCACCAACGGACUCGAAACAGCACGCUGAUGACGAUCCCAGCUUCAGAUCUUCCGAUUCGACCCCCGAUCAUCCAGAGAGAUUUACGGACGAUCUCCACCGUCGAUUUUCAAACAGAGUCUGAUCGUCGCGAAAGUGGUACCAUUGGAAAGCUUGAGCUGAGGAGAGUCCGGAUAUGUCCUCUGAUCAGUUAUUCUCUCUCCACCACGAACUUCCAACUUCGGCCACCAUUUAUGACACCACCACCGCCAAAAUGAAGCUUAGGCCGAGGGGAGUCGAUCGCCACCUGACUCGGUCGCCAAAGCCGCCGGAAACGCCCGGAAUGGUGUCCGAAAGUCGCUGCCUCCUUUGCGCUCUUCCACUGCCUGGCGCUACCGUUCCCUGCUGCCACGCUCGCCGGCGCCACCGUUCCCUGCUGCCACGCUCGCCAGCGCCAGCCGUUUCGUCGGCCAGCUCCGCCACACCCAGACAGUCGGCCACCGACGACAACACAGCCGAUCUUCUUCUCCUCGCGCGAUCUCUCUCUCUCUCUCAAUUCUCUUCUUUCUCCUUUUCUUUUCUUUCUUCCCUAUAUCAACAUUUAGUCCUUGAACUUUUCUUCUUUACUAUUUAGUCCCUCAACUUUUUUAAUUACUAACAAUCUCGCCCUAUAAAAUUUUCAAUUAACCCUUAGACUUUUCUUUAGCUUUUCAGUUAAGCCCUUAACUAUUUAAUUUGGACCAAAUUAGAAUUAUUAUAAAUAUAUAGUUACUUAUUUACCCUUACUUUUAAAUGUAAAAUAACCAAAGCGCCAUUGCCAACACAUUUAAUUAUAAAAAUACCAACCAUAUAAAUUUUCAUUAAAACCCCAUAUUAAUAAAAUUAUAUUUUAAAUCCUUAUUCCAAGAUAAAUUUUCAAUUUAAUCCUAACACACAAUUAAUUUAAUUAAUCAAUUUGCUAAAUAUUUUUCAAUUAAAAUUAAC
Molecule: long non-coding RNA, 2274 nt
Filed under: Ricinus communis (castor bean)
Lineage: Eukaryota; Viridiplantae; Streptophyta; Magnoliopsida; Malpighiales; Euphorbiaceae
Description: long non-coding RNA (RCOM_LNC001088)
Source: RNAcentral